RNAcentral lists this long non-coding RNA (249 nucleotides) under Elaeis guineensis (African oil palm). RNAcentral's name for it is "long non-coding RNA (EGUI_LNC018233)". The record is from RNAcentral. Lineage: Eukaryota; Viridiplantae; Streptophyta; Magnoliopsida; Arecales; Arecaceae.
CUGGUUGUUGCUAUUGCUACUGUGUUUGCUACUACUAGAGACUGUGCACUGUCUUCAUCAGUAUUUUCAUCUAUUGCAUUAAAGCAACGAGUUGUUGUGCGUCUGUUGUAACAACCGGAUGCGAAGAACUGAGCUUUGCCAUUAAAGGUAGAGGUGGAAGAUCUUUUCGAUAGAAAGAUUGCCUGGCGGAGUCGAUGGAAUUGUUCUGGGCUCUUGUCUUUGUCAUGACUAGAUUCUCCUCAUGCCCUG